Molecule: unclassified non-coding RNA, 310 nt
Filed under: plant metagenome
Description: partial contains 5.8S ribosomal RNA, internal transcribed spacer 2, and large subunit ribosomal RNA
Rfam family: 5.8S ribosomal RNA (bases 1-105)
Source: RNAcentral
GAAAUGCGAUAAGUAGUGUGAAUUGCAGAAUUCAGUGAAUCAUCGAAUCUUUGAACGCACAUUGCGCCCUUUGGCAUUCCGAAGGGCAUACCUGUUCGAGCGUCAUUUCAACCCUCGAGCCCCCCCGGGGGCCUCGGUGUUGGGGGACGGCACACCAGCCGCCCCCGAAAUGCAGUGGCGACCCCGCCGCAGCCUCCCCUGCGUAGUAGCACACACCUCGCACCGGAGCGCGGAGGCGGUCACGCCGUAAAACGCCCAACUUUCUUAGAGCUGACCUCGGAUCAGGUAGGAAUACCCGCUGAACUUAAGC